GGAAUUUUGAGAGAAUCGUGUUCCAAGAGUUGGUAGGUGUAUUUAAAGAGUCCAAGGUCUUAUAAAUCUUUCCAUAAACAUUUCACACUUUUAAUGUGGGUCUCAAGGCAGAAGUUGAUGAACGCUUCAACACACACCAAAUUCAUUGCACUUCAAUAUUAGUUACCUGGUUGUCCCGCCACUACAUUCAAUUCAAAAUCUUAAUGCAUUCAUUUCAUACAUCCCUACUAUUUAUGUUGUGUUCAAUUCAACGUAUCUAUUUUCAUUUAUGUCUGACUUCUUUUUCCCAAUAAUUUCAGGCCUUUAUCUAGGAUCUUGACACCCCAUCAUUACCUAAACCAAGCCUUGGUUUCAGUUAUAGCGGGAGGUUAUAAUACUCAACAACUUGUGUCAAAUGUGUCCUUUUGCUAAUAAUUAAAUGUCCCAAGUGCAGGUUUUGAAUCAUAUAUAGUGUGCAUUUGA
Molecule: long non-coding RNA, 462 nt
Filed under: Vigna radiata
Lineage: Eukaryota; Viridiplantae; Streptophyta; Magnoliopsida; Fabales; Fabaceae
Description: long non-coding RNA (VRAD_LNC009374)
Source: RNAcentral